GAUGAACGCUAGCUACAGGCUUAACACAUGCAAGUCGAGGGGCAGCGGGAUUGAAGCUUGCUUCAAUUGCCGGCGACCGGCGCACGGGUGAGUAACGCGUAUCCAACCUUCCGUACACUCAGGGAUAGCCUUUCGAAAGAAAGAUUAAUACCUGAUGGUAUGAUGAGAUUGCAUGAUAGCAUCAUUAAAGAUUUAUCGGUGUACGAUGGGGAUGCGUUCCAUUAGGUAGUAGGCGGGGUAACGGCCCACCUAGCCUACGAUGGAUAGGGGUUCUGAGAGGAAGGCCCCCCANACUGGGACUGAGACACGGCCCAGACUCCUACGGGAGGCAGCAGUGAGGAAUAUUGGUCAAUGGGCGGAAGCCUGAACCAGCCAUGCCGCGUGAAGGACUAAGGCCCUACGGGUCGUAAAACUUCUUUAGACGCAGAGCAAUAAGGUCCACGUGUGGACCGAUGAGAGUAUGCGUAGAAUAAGCAUCGGCUAACUCCGUG
RNAcentral lists this ribosomal RNA (491 nucleotides) under uncultured bacterium. RNAcentral describes it as "bacterial SSU rRNA". It matches the Rfam family "Bacterial small subunit ribosomal RNA", at positions 28 to 507 of the family's 1533-position model. The record is from RNAcentral.